This 668-nucleotide ribosomal RNA is filed under the name uncultured Crater Lake bacterium CL500-6. RNAcentral's name for it is "bacterial SSU rRNA". It matches the Rfam family "Bacterial small subunit ribosomal RNA", at positions 8 to 672 of the family's 1533-position model. The record is from RNAcentral.
AGAGUUUGAUCCUGGCUCAGGAUGAACGCUAGCGGCAGGCCUAAUACAUGCAAGUCGAGCGGCAAGUUGAGUAGUAAUACUUAGCCUAGAGCGGCGCACGGGUGCGUAACGCGUAUGCAACCUACCUUUUACUGGGGGAUAGCCCGGAGAAAUCUGGAUUAAUACCCCAUGGUAUCUAUGAAUCGAUUGGUUUAUAGUUUAAAGAUUUAUCGGUAAGAGAUGGGCAUGCGUCUGAUUAGCUAGUUGGCGGGGUAACGGCCCACCAAGGCGACGAUCAGUAGGGGUUCUGAGAGGAAGGUCCCCCACACUGGCACUGAGAUACGGGCCAGACUCCUACGGGAGGCAGCAGUAGGGAAUAUUGGGCAAUGGUCGCAAGACUGACCCAGCCAUGCCGCGUGCAGGAAGACGGCCCUCUGGGUUGUAAACUGCUUUUAUCUGGGAAGAAAAAGUCCAUGCGUGGAAAAUUGCCGGUACCAGAUGAAUAAGCACCGGCUAACUCCGUGCCAGCAGCCGCGGUAAUACGGAGGGUGCAAGCGUUGUCCGGAUUUAUUGGGUUUAAAGGGUGCGUAGGCGGCUGAAUAAGUCAGCGGUGAAAGACUUCGGCUUAACCGGAGCAGUGCCGUUGAUACUGUUUAGCUUGAGUGUUGGAGGGGUACAUGGAAUUGAUG